This 860-nucleotide ribosomal RNA is filed under the name Lepiota sp. Its description in RNAcentral is "partial large subunit ribosomal RNA". It matches the Rfam family "Eukaryotic large subunit ribosomal RNA", at positions 68 to 916 of the family's 3401-position model. Lineage: Eukaryota; Fungi; Basidiomycota; Agaricomycetes; Agaricales; Agaricaceae. The record is from RNAcentral.
AACAGGAUUCCCCUAGUAACUGCGAGUGAAGCGGGAAAAGCUCAAAUUUGAAAUCUGACGGUCUUUGGCCGUUCGAGUUGUAAUCUAGAGAAGUGUUACCCGUGCUGGACCGUGUACAAGUCUCCUGGAAUGGAGCGUCAUAGAGGGUGAGAAUCCCGUCUCUGACACGGACUACCAGGGCUUUGUGGUAUGCUCUCAAAGAGUCGAGUUGUUUGGGAAUGCAGCUCAAAAUGGGUGGUAAAUUCCAUCUAAAGCUAAAUAUUGGCGAGAGACCGAUAGCGAACAAGUACCGUGAGGGAAAGAUGAAAAGAACUUUGGAAAGAGAGUUAAACAGUACGUGAAAUUGCUGAAAGGGAAACGCUUGAAGUCAGUCACAUUGACUAGGGAUCAGCCUUGCAUUUGCAUGGUGUACUUCCUGGUUGAUGGGUCAGCAUCAAUUUUGACUGCUGGAAAAAGACCUGGGGAAUGUGACAGCUCCGGCUGUGUUAUAGACCCUUGUCAUAUACAGCAGUUGGGAUUGAGGGAUUCAGCACGCCGCAAGGCCGGGUUUCGACCACGUUCGUGCUUAGGAUGCUGGCAUAAUGGCUUUAAGCGACCCGUCUUGAAACACGGACCAAGGAGUCUAACAUGCCUGCGAGUGUUUGGGUGGAAAACCCAAGCGCGUAAUGAAAGUGAAAGUUGAGAUCCCUGUCGUGGGGAGCAUCGACGCCCGGACCAGAACUUUUUGGGACGGAUCUGCGGUAGAGCAUGUAUGUUGGGACCCGAAAGAGGUGAACUAUGCCUGAAUAGGGUGAAGCCAGAAGAAACUCUGGUGGAGGCUCGUACCGAUUCUGACCUGCAAAUCGAUCGUCAAUUUGGGU